GUGAAUCAUCAAAUUUUUGAACGCAAAUUGCACUCUCUGCGAAGCGUAUGCCUGUUUGUGUGUCAGCCUAAAAUAAAAUGAAAUAGUCGCUGUUUCGCGGUUACCUUCGUCGGAAAUUGGGUUAUCUUAAACCUUUUGUUUUUAAGCGGAUUUAAAUUUUCUUUACGAUUCUACGAAAGUUUCUUAGAUUUAUUUACAUUUUUUUGGUAUAUAUAUUUCUUAGUCGUGGCCUUUGCAUCGGAUCGCGUCCAUAUUUAU
Molecule: unclassified non-coding RNA, 258 nt
Filed under: Glomus sp.
Lineage: Eukaryota; Fungi; Glomeromycota; Glomeromycetes; Glomerales; Glomeraceae
Description: partial internal transcribed spacer 2
Source: RNAcentral